ACCCAGAUGACGAGUCCCGAAUAGGACGAAAGAGGUAUCCUGGAU
This 45-nucleotide non-coding RNA is filed under the name Trichobilharzia regenti. The record is from RNAcentral. Lineage: Eukaryota; Metazoa; Platyhelminthes; Trematoda; Strigeidida; Schistosomatidae.